GCCGAAGUGUCAGAGAGGCCCAACGUAUCAGAAUCAAAAUUCGCAGGUUCGAAUCCUGUCUUCGGCA
Molecule: transfer RNA, 67 nt
Filed under: Acidobacteriota bacterium
Lineage: Bacteria; Pseudomonadati; Acidobacteriota
Description: Acidobacteria bacterium (anaerobic digester metagenome) tRNA-OTHER
Rfam family: tRNA
About the family: Transfer RNA (tRNA) molecules are approximately 80 nucleotides in length. Their secondary structure includes four short double-helical elements and three loops (D, anti-codon, and T loops).
Source: RNAcentral